GACGAACGCUGGCGGCGUGCUUAACACAUGCAAGUCGAACGAAGAGCGAUGGAAGCUUGCUUCUAUCAAUCUUAGUGGCGAACGGGUGAGUAACGCGUAUUCAACCUGCCCUUCAGAGGGGGACAACAGUUGGAAACGACUGCUAAUACCGCAUACGAUCUAAUCUCGGCAUCGAGGAUAGAUGAAAGGUGGCCUCUACAUGUAAGCUAUCACUGAAGGAGGGGAUUGCGUCUGAUUAGCUAGUUGGGGGGGUAAAGGCCCACCAAGGCGAUGAUCAGUAGCCGGUCUGAGAGGAUGGACGGCCACAUUGGGACUGAGACACGGCCCAGACUCCUACGGGAGGCAGCAGUGGGGAAUCUUCCGCAAUGGACGGAAGGCUGACGGAGCAACGCCGCGGGGGUGAAGGCGGCCUUCGGGUUGGAAAGCUCUGUUAAUCGGGACGAAAGGCCUUCUUGCGAAUAGUGAGAAGGAUUGACGGUACCGGAAGAGAAAGCCACGGCUAACUACGUG
RNAcentral lists this ribosomal RNA (510 nucleotides) under uncultured bacterium. RNAcentral describes it as "partial 16S ribosomal RNA". It matches the Rfam family "Bacterial small subunit ribosomal RNA", at positions 28 to 507 of the family's 1533-position model. The record is from RNAcentral.